RNAcentral lists this ribosomal RNA (116 nucleotides) under Campylobacteraceae bacterium. The record is from RNAcentral. Lineage: Bacteria; Pseudomonadati; Campylobacterota; Epsilonproteobacteria; Campylobacterales; Campylobacteraceae.
GCCGGUGGCUAUUGAGAGUUGGAAACGCCCUGUCCCAUACCGAACCAGGAAGCUAAGCAACUCAUCGCCGAUGAUACUGCUCUUUACUAGAGUGGGAAUGUAGGUCGCUGCCGGCU